UGAUGCCAUGCAACCCAAAUGGACCAUGCCGGGUCGGGUCAAGUCUUACCAAUUAUAGUUAUGGACUUAGACAUUAAUCCAACAGUCUCCCACUUGGAUAAGUCUAAAACUAUUAUUGCGUAUGACUUCAAGAACCGACUGGCAAUCGUAGCUCUCAAAAGCUUCCGUCGAACUCUGACCUUGCCGAUGAUCUCUGACCUUUGUCAAUGACUUGUCCAUUAGAUAAGGGAUCAUAUAUUCCUCCAUUCUAGAUAUCAUAUGGACUGAGACAUGGAUUAUAAUCAUUCUCUCUGUCCAUUUGUUGUUUCCCGAUUUCCGAUUUAUGACGACUGACUAAUUGAACAAAUCAAAUCAGUCCUGGCCCGGCCGAGCACUUCCAUUUGUCAUCAUCAAAUCAUCGAGGGGCCCACAGAUAUCGCUUUUAUCCCGAAGGUAAAAGGAAUGGAUAAACUUCGACUCAUAUGGCUUGUUCUACUACUUGUUGAAUCAUACACAAAGGCACGUUUUAUAGCACCGAGUUACCAAAUGCGUUUUCGUGCAAUCAAUGUACUAUCAACUCAUAGUAACAACUCAUAUCUCUAGGUUUGAAGAAUAUAAGAUAUUAUCGUCUCAUGAUCACUCGUGAUAAAAUCCAUGAAGUGAUUCCAAUGAGCGCGGGUUGAAUCCAAUACUCAGAACUUAUGAGCACUCAUGAGUGUUGUAGCCCUUUGUCCAACACCUUAGACCUCUACAAGCCAACCCAUGACAGUCUUAAUUCAUAUCUACUUCCAACAUAUGACCGACUGUGGAUGGUUUGAAUAACUUAGUCAUUCCGGAAGAAUAACCCAGUUUAUUCGGGAAGUCAAAACAUGCAAAAUGAAACACAAUAAUAAUUGAAUCCAAUAUGGUAUCAACCCUUUGAACAUAAAUAAAACACCUUUUAUUUAUCACCAUAUGAUUACACAUUAUUCAUUGUAUACUGUUUCAGCUAUCAACUUUAUUCUUGAAUUUAAAACAAUAGUUGUCCCAUGCUCCAAGCAUGUACACUAUGUUUUCUUAAACACUAGUCAUGCCACACACCAAGUAUGCAUACUAUGUUUGUCUAUGAUCUUUACUUUGUGAACUAGAUCAAUUGAACAUAACUUCAAUGAUUCUCUUUUCACACUCCCAAAUCCUUACUGCAAAUGCAAGAAUUCCAAAUUCAUGCCAUUUACUGAAAUCUGUUAGAUUCUAAACUUAUAUGCAUUGAUCCUCUUGUAAUGAUUAUGCACAAAGUCACAAAGACUUGGCAACAAUCAUUACAGAGUAUUCCAAAGGAGAUCAACUCCUUGGAAAUAUCCUUCUUGCAUUAAGUUUCCUUAAUCUUACACAGAUUGAAAAUUCUAACUUUGAAACAUUUCCAGAUUCCAUUUUGACUAUCACUUCUGAACAAGAGUUGCCUCCUUACAGAUUAUGUCAAUAUGGUCCUUCCAGAAUUAUCACUAUACUUCCAAUUGUCCUUGAGCAACCAAUCUUUGGUAAACCUUAGAUUGUCCUCGACAAUUGUUUAAUCCUUUUAGUCAUAUCCAGUUCUAAACCUUUUCCCUUCUUAAUGCCCCAGGCAUUUGGAAAAUUUUAGAACGGAUGAAUAUAGCACAUGUAAUCGAUCCUAUAUCCGAAGCAUAUGGGACACGAUUCAUGAUGUCUUACAUAAAGACUAAACCAGUCUUUUGCUAUAAUAUUUCCAUUUCAAUUUGCCAAGUUCUCAUAAUUCAGAUUAUGAAAAGGGAUGCCGUAAUCAUAAUCGAAUUUUAGAACGCAAAUAAUGGACCCAUAUACAGAAUUUCCUUAUGUUGAGCCAUUCCAACAUGAAAUUCAUAUAUAUCCUUGACUAAAUGAUUAAAACCUCACGAUCUAAGCUUAUAGAUUUGAGAUGAAGCAUAAUUUCCUCUCCCUUAAUUAUAGCAAAACAACUUUUUCCCAAUUGAAACUUUUGUUUUCUAUAAUUAACAUUGCUAACUUGCAAUACUUAUCAUAAUUAUCAUGCUCCCACUAACAUGAUGAUUAUUAGCAUAACACUUAUGCUCCCACUAGCUUUGACAUGUACUCAGAAAUCAGCUGACUUUCUUACCAAAGUUCAGAUUUCUGAUACUAGAUUGUUUUGAUAAAACUUUAUCAAAAUCAUACACCUUCCCUUAGAUAGCACACUUGUGAGUCUAAACAAUUAUGAAGAGGUAUGCCGUAAUCAUAAUGGUUAGACCUUUUUGCCACUUCUCACAAGUCCAUGUUAGUGUGCCGGUUAACCACACGCGCUCCACUAACGACUUUGAGAAUGCAAAUAUCACAAUUGCUAUCUAGCUAAAAUCUACUUAGUGAAAGUGUUUCCUCACCAUCAUUUUCAUGAAUCGGAGAGAAACCUUAUGACACUUAGAUUUAUAUGGUGUAUGAGUUCCUACCCAUAUGAAUUUGUCAAACCAUAAUCACAAGACAAAGAUAAUGACAAAUCCAAAACCAUAUGGAUUGAACUCAAUCUUAACUUCUUGCCACCUGGCAAGUAAAGGGCCUGCCAUUGCUUCCAAGUUGUUAUGCAACCAAUUGAGAACUCUAAGAACUCAUAUGCAAAGCCAACUUUAACUGGAAUGGGCACAAAAUAUGUCAACACGAUAGGUUAUAAACCUCAAGUCGUGUGCUAGUGAAGAACUUCAGGUUUUAUUCUUGAUUAGUUCUUGAGACUUUCAAGACCUUUAAGACUCCCACUGUCCUCUUGACAUAUAAGACUCUCUUGUAAAAUAUUCAAGGGAUAGUGCGGAUUCUUUAUCAAGACAAACACUUCACACAAUUGGCCUAAGUUGGUCUUUGUUUUAUCCAAAACAUCACAACUUAUCAACUUCAAAUGUACAAGAGUAUGACACUUUUACUCUUACAUUUGACACGUGUUUUUAAACCUUUCUUUAAGAUAUGUCACUCAAGUUACAGUCUUAGAGUAUAACUCUAAGGAUUGUUUUGGAACGAAGUAUGACUCAUCUUCUUGAUUUAACCACUUCAACAAUUCAUAACUCCUCUUCUUAGCUAUCAGAAUGCACUUAGAGGAUGAAUUGUGAUAAGGUCUCUUAAUCAUUAAGAUGAUCAUAUAACAUGAUACUAAAGUACUCUCCCAUCUUUUCAGAUUUGAGAAACUUUUAUCCUUCUGCCUAAUUUGAUUCUUCUCAUUCGUUCUACCAUACAUCGAGACUUUUCCAAUGAUUCAUAAUUAUACUUAGACUUAUAAGUAUAACCAUAUUUACUAAACUUUAGUAAAUCAUGAUGAAUAGUCUUAUCGAUUAUUUGUGGUGGGCUUGAUCAGUGCACAAGGAUGUGUACUCGAUCCCUUAGUCCUUUACUUGACUCACACAUCCAUGUGAACAAGUAAUUAGUCUUAAUUUUCCAAUGCUUGAAAGUUCUCAUUCAUCAUACUAUACAACUUGCAUGAUUCCAAGUUUCGGUCCAAUUGAAACUUGGGUGAUGAGAAACUUUCCUUAUUUGGUAAAUUUAGACACUACCACAAAUGAAAGAAUCAAAUUCAUAUUUCCAAUAUUGUUAUCAAUGGAAUCAUAUAAGCAACAUCUUUUUUUUCCACAAAUGUCAUUGUAAGGAUAUUCUAAAAUAAAUAAAAUUAAAAACUUUUCUUUUAAUUUACAACUUUGCGGAAAAACUAAUCCUUACAAUGCAAAUGUAUACGAAAGCUUGUUGUUAUCUAUUCCUAAGCAAUUUAUCAUAACUCUUAAGCACCUACUCAAAAUUCUGAUCAUUGAACCAUGCGAUCGAAAUUCAUCUUCGCGAUAAGAAUCAACAUACUCUUUCUUUAAGUUUCUUCACUUUUCUUUGAUUCUUACAAACAUCAAUAUGUGACCCAGUUACAUCAUGUAUCAAGAAUCUUAGUAUAGAAACUUAGCAGAGUUAGAUAGUGGAUUUUACCUGAAGUAGGGUCACACUUAUUGACUUUAACAUCCUUAGGUAAAAUUGGCAGCUUCGCAACUAAUGCCCCUUCCUUUGGCAAUAUAAACAUAUGGACCCUUUGGUAAUGGUACCGGUACUAUCACAUACUUAGCUUUUUCUCUUUACCAUUUGGUCAACCGAGUUGACUAUGACCGAUCCCUUUCCAUUGGGAAGAGAAUGUUUUUUCUGGAUUUCCAGUGUCUUUAUUGUUAAUGUCCAUAAAGUUUUAGGAAGUUGAUCUUAGCAAAUAGAUAAGAUCAUUAAGGGUCUUGUCAUAGUCUGUUUCAUAGGAGUCCCAAAGGAACUCACUAUGUGACUUAGAAAGUGAUUGAACCACCAACUUUCUCAAGUCUUUGACACCCAACUCUCCCGGCUUGUCAGUAUGUGACUUCAUCUCCAAGAUGUGAGCACACCUAGACCUUGCCUUGCAAAUACAGCUUGAGUGAGCUUGAACUUGUGGGAUAGGGAUGAUAAUUGGAGGAGGUGGAGGAAGUGAAGUUCCAAGAAUUUGGGAAGAUCAUAGAUGUCUGAACUAUACAUCUUUUGGGAGAUAUUCAAGUUUAGUUGAUUUAAAGUCCUUAAUAUAACACCCAAUAUGAAAUAUUAAGGCUAGGACCCAACAACCUAUUUAUAACUGGAAGAGGGAUGUCGUAAUCCAAGUUAUAAAAUAGUUGAAGGUAGGUAAAUGACGAUUUACCAAUUUCCACCAUGAAAAACGAAAUAUAAUUAAGUUUUAAUUGGAUUUGAAACUCCUAGAUCUUUUGAGAUUCAUUGAACUUUUCAAUGGCAUGUUUCAAUCUCGAGUGUGCCCUUCAGGAUUUGUGAUUGGGAUGCCGAGGAUCACAAAACAAGGUGUGAAAUAACCAUGCAAAGUACUUGGUACUCUUAAAUGUUUAUCACCCAACCGAUGUGUCGGUAAACCACACACGCUCCACCGGCCUAUGAUUAAACUUUAAGAAACCCUUUGCCUACCUUGUUAAAUCAAGCUAGUGUGCCGGUAAACCACACACGCUCCACCAACCGACUUAAGCAAAGUGCCAAGUGUAAUUUCAUGGGUUAGCACCUUAUUCACAUUUUCCUAAGUAACUAAGAUUGGGAAUUAUAAGUGUUUAGUUACUUAGUAUUUAUCAUUAAUACUUUUAAUGAAGGGAGAACUUAUAGUCUUUGUCCUACCCGUUCGGCUAACGACCCUCCACCAGUCAAGGAAGCGGUGGGUGAGAGUGGACACCCAUUAAACUGCCAUUUUAUAGGCAGUAACCUUAUACCCCCCUUAUAGACCGGCUUCGUGAAUGAGGCCUACUAACGGUAAGACUGACUUUUCCUCUUAUACAUAUAUAUAAAUAUUAUUGACUUAUAAUAUUAUAAAGUAUAAGGAUUGAAUUUUAACUUUUAAAAUCCUAAGGGCUUAACUUGGAAUUAAAGUAUUCAUAAGAGAAAACUUUUCAAAUUCCAAAACUUGAGGGAAAGUUUUGAAACUAUUCAAAACUAAUUAAUUCCAUAACUUAUGUGUUUAAAGUAGUUUAAUUAAAAGACUCUUCAAGUUCCAUAACUAGAGCACAAGUUAUAGAAGACAUUGAACUAAUUAAUAAAAAAAUAACUUUUUUUAUUGUAACUUAUGGAACUAAUUAAGGUUAUAUUUUUUUUUAUUAUUAUUUAAUGAAGAGACUCUUGAACCUCCAUAACUUGAGGACAAGUUAUGGAGUCAUAAAACCAUUUAAUUAGAACUAGAAUCUUCAUUUUGUAACAUUUGCCAACAUUUAUGAGUUUUAUGAUUCUUAAAUGUGACUUUUCAUAUAACUUGGGGACAAGUUACAAAAAACACACUUUGGAAUCAACUCUUAGAUUAAAAUGGAUUGAAAUCAACUAUUUCACACAACUUUUCUAUUAAUCUAAGAACAAGAUAAUUCAAAUCAUCAAUCUUCAAGAAAUUAGCAUGAACAUACAAACUAAUACAAAUCUUGAAAUUAUGACAAUUAUCUUAGAAAUUGGAUUAGCAUGAACAUUACCACAUCAAAAACAAGUUUAUAAGUCCAAAAACAUCUUAGGGUAAUGUUCCUAGUCCAAUUCCAGCCAAAACAAUCGAAUAUAUGCUGUCAGGGGGUCCAACUCGUCGAGUGCACGAACCAACUCGGCGAGUCUACUGUGCAGACAACAUCAAAACUCGAUUUUUCAGCUACUUUUGCAAGUAUAACGAGAAAACAAACAUAGGCUCUGAUACCACUAUUGGAUUUUGAGCAUUCUAACACUCCUAAGUGUACAUGCAACCCUAAAUACCUUGGAUCUAUGUUUUCUCUAUUAUACAUGCAAAUAUGAACAUCCAAGGUAUUAUACUAAUCUAGCAUACAAACAGUGACUAUAACAAGAUAGAAUACAUACCUCUUUGAUGUAUAAUGUCCUCAUGAAGCUUGAGUGCCUAGUGCCCCAAGUGUGACACCUCAAAUGGUUCACACAACACCAAAUACACUUGGAAUAACUUGAGAGAAACUUGAACACUUUUAAAAUCGGCUAGCCCUUCUCUUCCUAACUUAGUGGCCGAUUUUGUCAAAGAAUAUGAUCUUAUAUAGUUGUUACAAUUAGGGUAAACCCUAAUUGUCAUGGCUUUUCAUUUCCUUGGAUCCAUGGGCUCAAAUACACCAUGGAGCAUCCAUGGAGCAUCUUAUGGGUUUUAGCCCAACUUGACAAUCCAUGGAGCAUUAGCCCACUAUACAAGUAUGGGUGAUUUACAUAAUCAACCCAUAUAUUUAAUUAGUUUUCUUUUGAUCACUUAAUUAAUUCUAGAUUAAUUCUUGAUCAAUAUUAAUUAAAUAAUCUUAUUAAUAUAUUAGAACUUAUAAUAUAUUAACAAACCUUAAGUGUUAUUUCUCUCAUUAUAGUCUAUCCAAAUGCAUGAUGCCAUGCAACCCAAAUGGACCAUGCCAAGUCGGGUCAAGUCUUACCAAUUAUAGUUAUGGACUUAGACAUUAAUCCAACACUUUCAUCCAUAUGCAUAAAUCCAAAUCACAUAAUUGAGAUAUAAAAAUGGUCAAUUUGAAGUUUUAUUGAAUCAAAUGGAUGAUUUAAAAAGUUGGGACUUUGAAAACACCAUUAAAACUUCAUAAACUAAGUUUUGUCAAGGAGAUAAACUCAGAUAUAUUAGUGUUAGAAACUUUGAAUUUAACACUAAAUUUGGAUUAAUCAUUACAUUAAACUUGGAUUAGUCAUUAUUUUAAAUAUCAAAAUUAGGACUUGAGGAUACAUUGGAAGUUAAAAACAAAGAGAUGGGAUAAUGGAUACCUUACAAACUUCUCUUAGAUGAUUUGGUGCUACGAUUAAACUAAAGGUUUAAUUUUACCUUCUAAAUCGAAAUUCCUCUUUAGAAAUUAUUUCCCUAUCUUUCCUAAUUCUCAUGCAUUCAAAAUAUAGAGUGAAAAGGAGUUGGGGAUCUAGAUCUCAUUUUUUUCAAUAUUUUGCAAGUUUGGUCCCUUAACUUCCUAAUAUUAGAGUUUGCUUAAAUUAACACCGAAUUAAUAUUUCCAACUCAGUACUUCUAACUUUUACCCUAGAAUGUUAAUUUAUCAUAAUGAAAAUGUUUUGUGCCACAUGUCAUCUUCUGCCAUCAUUUGCUACAUGUCAUUUUCUAAAAUUUUAUGCAUUUUCUAUUUUCUACUUGGCAUUUUCUGUUUUUCCACAUUUCCUUAUAAUUUAAUUAAAAGUUGACUCUAUAUUGUUAUAUAUGUAACGUAUUUGGCAUUAAUUUGGCAUUUAUGUGAUUCUAUUAAAAUCUCACAUUAAUUUCUAUACAAACAUUUAUUUUUUUUCCUAUUUUAAUCCAUCACACACUUUUUAUACAACUAAUCUUCUAUAAGAAUUACAAAUUUAUACAUUUUUUAUGAAAGAAAUCAUGAUAUCAAUCACAAUAUUUAUGUGGAAUUAUCAUACAAAAUAUAGGACAUAAUCAUGUAUAUAUAUAUGAUUUCCUAAUUAUUAUAAUGUAAUUAUUUGUAUCUGAAAUUCUUUGCAAAAACAUAAUCAACUACUUGUGCAUCUACACAAGGCUAGCAAAUUGAUUUUGUGAAGUAUAAUUUUUAUUGUGUGUUAUGUGUGUAUUUUUCUUAAAUUAGUUGACCAUUUUGUAUAAAUCAGUUCAGUAAGUCAUUGACUCCUGUUGAUGUAAGUAAAUUGUUCGAAGACUUUUGUAUGUUGGAAUGCAUACAUGGAGUUCGAUAGAAUGUCUUAAAGAAAGAACUCUUGACAUCAUUGUAGUAAAAAUCUCAGUUAUAUCAUCUUACUUAACUGAAAUGCGAGUUAAUGCAGGGGGUUUCUUUUUUAUGUUUUUGUUUUUUAUGGCGUCAUUUUCUUUUUUAUAACACUUGAUUUGAUUGGAGUGGAAGUUUAGUAUGGUUUUCUAAAAAAACGAUUUAAAAUCACCAAUUGGUUUUUGCCCCUUUUUGUUCAUUUUUUUCAUGUUUGAUAGAGGUCGUGUUUGGUAGGGUAGUUGGUCCAUUGUUUGUUCAUUAUGUGGUUUUCGAGUUUAAAUUUGCCACUAAUUAUAUCAUUAGUUUUCAAUGUUCAUUAGGUUGUUUCUUUUAUAAUUGUUGUGAUUUUUCGGUCUCAGUUAUAUCAUUUUACUUACUUGAAAUGAUUCUUGCCAAUACUGCAAGGGCAUUUCCGUCAAUAUCCUUUUUCCCCUUUUAAAUAAUCUCAUCAGCUCUUUAUAUAUUGGUUUGAAAAUAGCAAUGUACUUUUUCCGUGACGGAACUCGCAUAAUAUACAUGCCUCAUGUUCCUUUAUAUGAUUUAAUCGUUUUUCCAAUUUUUUGAAACCUCCAGAUGUUGAAUAUAACAUAUCCCAUAUGAUAGGUGAAAUUUUAAAAUCAAGAUUGAUAAUAACAAUCACUCCAAUAAUGUUUGAUGAUUUUACCAACGUACCCUCUUAAUGAUCAAAUGAGCGUAUCUGUCCUACAUAGUCGGGUUGUUUAUUACGUGGCACAAGUCCGAUUAAUUAACUUACUAACAUGUUUGUGUAGAUUGUAAAAUAAUGUUGAUUAUACUGAGAUUGAAUAACACUCAAUUUAAAAUAUAUUAAUAUACAUAAUAGUCUAUUUCCAGGCUUUGAUCCUUAAACCCAUUUUCGUUGUUAGUAAUUUAAGAUGUGCUACAUUUAUUGAUCGAUAUUUUUAUAUGGAAACUAUAUGCAGUAAUUUUUAUAAAGUUAAAGUUGAUGUAUUUGAACUUGUUUUGUUGUUUCAUGUUUCUAAACGAUUUAAACCAAACACCAUCAUUGCGUCCAAUAUCAUUGUAUUUACUAGAGGCACACUAAAAGCCUUGCCGAUUUUUGCUAUAUAUGUUUUUUUUUUUAUAUUUUAAUAAAACUAUUUAUACAUGCAAAUAUUUUCACAUCUUCUAUGGCUUUUUUAUAAGUAUUUGUUUUAUUUGUCUUUUGGUUAAUCCUGACUCUUGUAUGGAUUUUACCUACUUUUUAAUACCUAUAAAUACAUAAACAUAUGUAAUUUAUUAUUUAUGUGUUACUAUGUUGCUGAUUACAAAAGUUGUUAUUUGUUAUGUUUAUAAAUAAAUAUGUAAGUAGUUAUCACUUUAGUCUUUUGGUUGCAUUUAGUAAUAUUGUUUUAUUAAUUUACUAAUUGUUAUUUAUAAAUUAAUAUUAAUAUAUUUCUUUACAAAUUUUUAUUUAUAACUUAGUAAUAAGACAUCUAAUGUUAUAUUAAAAUAAAAGUUUUUGAAAAUUUAUAAUUCAUAAACAUUGUUUACAAUAUCUUAAUAAUUUUGUUUUAUAAUAUAUAUUGAAUUACUUACCGAUUAAUCAUUUUGUUUGUAUUUAUGUAUAAUUAAUAAGUUUACAUAAAAAUAUGAUAAACUUACCGAUACUAGAUCUAUUUUCCUAUACUUGAAUACUUCACUUUUCAUUAUAUUGGGUGCAUAUAUGCGGAAAUAUUACAUUAAUAAAAUAUUUAAUAUUUAUAAUUUUAUAUUAAACUUUUAUUUUUAAUAAAUCCGUGUAACAAGCUAAGUUAAGUCAUAGUCACCUCUAAUCUCCGUAAUUAGAAAUUUUGGCCUUUACCUUUCUAAUUUUCUAUUAUUUAACUCCAAAAUGGCUUUUUACUUGUUAUUUUUAGUAUCUCAUCUUCUAAUUCAAACCUAGAUACUAAACUACUACGAAUUAAGUCCACACUUGGUUAUUUGAAUUUAAUCAUGUGUUAUUCCUUAAUUUAUUCUCAAUUUUGAUGUUUUUGACAUUAACUUUCCCCUGUUAAUUAAAUCAAUUUCUACUUUAAUUAUUUUAAAUCUGCUAAAUUUGAAAUNAAAAGCGUUGGGGAUCUAGAUCUCAUUUUUCAAUAUUUUGACUUCCUAAUACUAGAGUUUGCUCAAAUUGACACCGAACUAAUAUUUCCAACUCAAUAACUCUAACUUUAACACUAGAAGUUUAAUAUAUUAACAAGAGAUUUUUUUAAUAUGUGGUCUAAUGACAUAUAUAAGAAACAUUAAUUCAAGUAUUAAUUAUAAAAAAUAUUAUCAUAAUUAAAUGUGAUAAAAACUAAUUAUAUGUAAUAUUAUUAGAAUUAAAUGUAAAAAAUACAUUAAUUAUAAAGAAUAUUAUUUAUAAUUAAUGUUUAUGAUAUUUAAUUAUGGUAAUAUCCCUCAUAAUUAAUACUUCAAUUAAUAUUUUUUAUAUAUGUUCAUCAUGGCACAUGUUAUAAAAACCCUAUUAGUAAUUUAGGUAAAAGUCUAAUUAGCUAUAAGUUAAGUCAUAGUCACAUCUAAUCUCUAUAAUUAGAAAUUUUAAUUCUUUACCAUUUUAAUUUUUUUUAUUUUAUUCCAUUAUUGGNNNNNNNNNNNNNNNNNNNNNNNNNNNNNNNNNNNNNNNNNNNNNNNNNNNNNNNNNNNNNNNNNNNNNNNNNNNNNNNNNNNNNNNNNNNNNNNNNNNNNNNNNNNNNNNNNNNNNNNNNNNNNNNNNNNNNNNNNNNNNNNNNNNNNNAUAUAUAUAUAUAUAUAUAUAUAUAUAUAUUGGAUUAGGUGUCUAAGUCAAUAAUUAAAUUAGUAUAAUCUUGAAUUAUUAACAAAGUCCUUUUAGGUUGCCCUCAAACCUAGUAAUUGAAUAGAAUGACUUUUAGAGAGGGAGACUAAUUUAUUGAUUUAUUACAUGAUUAAUAAGUAGCAAUAAAUGAAUUUAUUAUGGAAAUAAUAUAUUAAUUAAAAGUAGUAAUAUUUAAUUAAUAAUUAAUUAGAUUUAUUUUAUGAUUAAUUGUAUUAAUUAAAAGUGCAAUUGUUCAAUAGUUUAACAAGAAAGAGUCCAGAACCUUCCUUGGAAGGAGGUGGACAAAAUGAGGGUAUUCCAGAACAUCUAGAAUAUUUCUUGCAAAUAAAUAGGAAGCUGGAUAAUUACCAAAUUUAAAUAAAUAUUAUUUUAUUAAUUUGGGGUUAUCUAGGGUUUCCAAGUUGCACUAUAAAAGGAUCCAUUGAGCUAUAAUUUUCGGCUACACAACUCCUUCUACUUUAGAGAUAGCCGAAAGUUGACAUCUUUUCUUCUCUCUCAAAAGCUUCUUGUUGCUAGUGUUGGGUGUGAACCAUCAGAUGCAAGACAUUUGUGUUGUUAGCUUCCAAGUUAUUGAAGAAAUGAUUCUUGAUUGUUUACUACAACAAUCAAAAUGUAUGUUUUACGUUCUAAAAUUUUCGAAAUUACCUAGGGUUAGUGUGUUCUUGUUGUUCAAUAGAAUGUUACAUCAAUAAUGUUAUGACUUAGAACUUUAGGUUGCAUGUACCUGUAAGUGUUAAAGACUUAUACGCGUUAAUACAUGUAAAACCCAUCAAUGGUAUCAUACCCUAUGUGUGUUUAAGAAUUGAAUAUACAUUGCUUGAACUUGAACAAGGAGGAUAAACAAAAUCGUCAUUAUGUUUCGACACCAUGACGUGGUAUCUUCUACCAAGACGUAGUGAUUUGCGAAUUCGUGUUCUUUUUCGCUCAACCACGACGUAGUGGAUGAUCAGAUUGCUAAAAUAGGUUUUUCUUACAUUCAAAAAUUGAUUAGGAUAAUUACCUUAGAUAAUGUUUUUAAUUAUGUAGAACUGAAUAAUUAUCUUUUCUAAUCAUAUAUCCUUAUCUUGAAUUUAUGAUUUAUCCUUGUGUUUUAAUUAUAUUUAAUUAAAGGAUACAAAUCAAAAACAUAAUUGGUUUAUUUUAAAUUAAAUUAAUUCCUUAAUUUCGAAAAUUUAAUUUAAACCUUGUAUUUUUGAAAAAUUUUAAAAUACACCUUAUAUAUAUAUAUAUAUAUAUAUANNNNNNNNNNNNNNNNNNNNNNNNNNNNNNNNNNNNNNNNNNNNNNNNNNNNNNNNNNNNUACAUACAUAUAAUAUUAAAAGUUAAUUACUAUAUGUAUAAGAUUAAGUCAGUCAAAUUGCUAGUACACCUCAUUCACGAAGUCAUACUAUAAGGAGAGUUUAAGGAAGCGACCUAUAAAAUGACCGUCAUUGGGUACCCAUUCUUACCCAAUGCUCUCUUGUGUGUUGGAGGGUCGUUAGCCGAACAUAUUUUAUAGGACAUAACUUCAUUAAUAAGUACAAUGACAUAAAAUGUAACUAAACAUAUUUUAUAAAAUCUCACUCUUUGUUACUUUAGGAAAAUGUGAAAAAUAUGUUAAUCCAUAAAAUUGCACAUUAUACUUUAUAGUAGUUAGUGGAGCGCGUUUGGUUGACUGACACGUUAAUAAUGUCUAUAAAGAGUAAUAAUGGACAUCUUGAAAAUUAUUGUUGAUUAAUGGAGCGUGUGUGGUUAACCGAUACAUUAAAAAUGAGAUGAUAAAUGACAUCAAGAGUGCCAAGCUAAUUUUUAUGGUUAUUCACAUAUUGUUUGUGAUCCUCAGUAUCCAUGACACAAAUAGAAUAGCAUAAUCUGAGAUUAAAAAUGUCAUUGAUAGGUUUAAUGAAUCUCAAAAGAUCUAGGAAUUUCAUAGUUCGAAAUUGGUGAAUUGCUUUUACCUACCUUCAUAAAUUUGCAAUAAUAUUACAACAUCCCUCUUCUUAGUUGUGAAUUGUUAUUUUAGAUCCUAUCCUUAAUCAUUUAUUAUGGGUUAAGAUAUUAAGGAUAAUUGUCAUCUAACUAAAAUUGUUCUUCUUUUUCUCUAUAGAUGUCUACCCCUGUUGAUGCUUCUGCUCCAUCAUCUUCUACCCACCACUCGGGUUUCUCCCUACUCUCCAUCGUCUCCAAAGUGACUUUUAAUGGCUCCAACUAUAAUGGUUAGAUGCACAACAUUAGAAUGGCUCUUCUCUUUGAGGGCAAAGAAUACGUCGUUGAGGAGAAACUCAUUGAAGUCGAUGAAGCUACUAUUACUCCUGGACAACUAGCCUCCUAUAGAAAACACAAUGACGAUGCAACAAAAGUUGCUUGCAUCAUGGUCACCACAAUGACUCCUUGCAGAGGUUCUAUGGGGACUAUUCGCAUUUUGAAAUGAACAAUGACCAUGUGGAAAAGUACCACAAGAGAUCUCGUCAAGAGAAGUUUAAAGUGGCCAAGUCCCUCAUGGCUUGCAAAAUGAAAAAAGAAGAGUCUGUCUGUAACCACAUGCAGAGAAUGCAAAGAUAAGUGGAGCGCCUGGUUAAGAUCAAUAUGCACUUUGAUGAGGAGUUGGCCAUUGAUAUGAUCUUAAACUCCUUGCCAAGUUGUUAUGAUCAGUUUAUAUUAGCUUAUCGUUUGAACAACUUAGAAACCACAUUAGCCCAACUCCACAACUUGCUACAAACAAAUGAGUUAGGAUUAAAAGGGAAAAAUGUGGAAUGGUGAAGCCAUUGUUGGCAGGUACAUACAUUAUUCAAACUAAUAACUCACCAUCUACUCAUUCUUGGGUCCUUGAUACAGGAUGUGGAUUUCACAUUUGUUCUAAUUUGAAGGGGCUAAAAGAAAGUGAGGAGGUGGAGCAUGGAAGGAUGAAUCUGAUCAUGGGAAAUAGGCGAUCUUCUCAUGUUACCAAGAUAUGGACUUAUCAGCUCGAGCUUAGUAGUGCUGUUAGGAUUAGUUUAAUUGAUUGUUGCUACUCAUCAAAAAUGAUGUGAAACAUUAUUUCAUUUCAUGCAUUGUUUAGACAAGGUUUCACAACGCUUUUAAUGAUUUGAGUGGUUCAAUUUUAGUUUACAAAAAUGGUGUUUUUUAUAUUUGAAGCUUUACCUUGUAAUAGUGUGUAUGAAACUGUGACUUGUGUUGAUAGCUUAGGCAAUAGUGUAUUUCAUAUUGAUUCAUCUAAGGGUCUAGAGAAAGCAUGAUUGUGGCAUUGCCGUCUUGGGCACAUUAACAAGAAACGUAUCGCCCAACUCCAAAAGGAUGGAGUCUUGGAAUCUUUUGACCUAAGGUCAAAUGAUGAAUGCGAAUCUUGUCUUUUAGGCAAGAUGAAAAAUCACCCUUCAGUGGAUCUUGUGAAAGAGGUGAGGGUUUGUUGGACCUCAUACACACAGAUGUGUGUAGACCCUUCAAGUCCACCACUAGAGAUGCUAAUCGAUUUUAUGUAACAUUUACAUAUGAUUAUAGUAGAUAUGGCUAUGUUUACUUAAUCAAACAUAAAUCAAAAACCUUUGAAAAGUUCAAAGAUUUUAAGCAUUUAGUCGAGAAUCAAUUAGGCAGGAAGAUAACGAAGCUCCGAUUUGAUAGAGGAUGAGAGUAUCUUAGUAUCGAGUUCCACCACUACCUCAAGAAAUGUGGAAUAGUUUCACAACUGACUCCUCCUAGGACACCACAACUUAAUGGUGUGGCUGAGAGGCGCAAUCGAACCUUGUUGGAUAUGGUUGGUUCCAUGAUGAGUCGAGCCACUCUUUCCUUUUUCCUUCUGGAGGUAUGCCUUAGAGACAUCUGCACAUAUCCUCAAUCUUGUCCUUACUAAGAUGGUUUCCAAAAAACUGUUGGGUUUUGAGCAUUCUAACACUCCUAAGGUAUACAUGCAACCCUAGAAACCUUGGAUCUAUGUUUUACUAUGAUACAUGCAAAUUUGAUUUUCCAAGGUUUUUAACCUAUGUAUCAUACCAUGGGGAACUUUUAAACAUAAAUGCUAGAAGAAGAACAUACCUUUUGUAGUUUGGAUUCCUUGAAAACCUUGUGAGCCUAGUACCUCAAGCGUGAUGCCUCAAAUGUCUCACACAACACUACAAAUCUUGGAAUAGACUUGAGAGAAGUUCACUAACACCUCAAAAUCGGAUAGCCCUCUUGUUCUUCACUUAGUGGCUGAUUUUUCUUUCCUUGGAGCUUCUUAUAUAGUUGUAGCACAAGUAGGGUUACACCAUGUAAACCUUAAUUGUCAUGGAUUUUCAUAUUCCAUGAUCCGUGGGUUUGUAACCUCCAUGGAUUAUCCAUGGAGCACCUUAUGGGUUUUAGCCCAAUCCAUACAAACCAUGGAUCAUUAGCCCACUAUAUAAGAAUAGAUUAUUUACACAAUCAGCCCCAUAUAUUUAUUUAGUCUCUUUUUGAUCACUUAAUUAAUUCCAAAUUGAUUCUUUGAUCAAUACUAAUUAAAUAAUAUUAUUAAUAUAUUAGAACUUAUAAUAUAUUAAUAAUCCCUAAGUGUCCUUUCUCUCAUUUAGUCUAUCCAAGUGUUGCAAUGCCAUGCAACCCAAAUGGACCAUGCCAACCAGGUCAAGUACAUCCCAGAAAUAGUUAUGAACUUAGACACCUAAUCCAACAGUCUCCCACUUNAUAUCUGCAAAUAAAUUCAGGAACCGAUCAGCAAUCGUAGCUUUUUCAAGGUCUUGCGGAACUAAGAUGAUGAUGAUGAUACGCCAUUUAAGAUAAGUGAUCAUAUAAUCCUCUAUUCUAGAUAUCAGCUGAAAAAUACAUGGAACAAUGUAUUACUUGUUGUCCAACAGUUUGUUUCCCGAUUUCCGAUUUGUUUGACAUAGAACUUAAUUGAACACAUCAACUUAGUUCUGACCGGGCCCGAUACAUGGGUCAAAACAAAAUCAUCGAGGGGCCCAGAUAUCAGCUUCUAAUCCAAGAAGGAACAGAUAAACUUCGACUCAUAUGUUUGUUCUACCACUCAUUGAAUUACACACAAAAGUACGUUUUAUAACAUCGAGUUAC
This 15980-nucleotide long non-coding RNA is filed under the name Lactuca sativa (garden lettuce). RNAcentral describes it as "long non-coding RNA (LSAT_LNC003643)". The record is from RNAcentral. Lineage: Eukaryota; Viridiplantae; Streptophyta; Magnoliopsida; Asterales; Asteraceae.